AUUGAACGCUGGCGGCAUGCCUUACACAUGCAAGUCGAACGGCAGCACGGGUGCUUGCCCCUGGUGGCGAGUGGCGAACGGGUGAGUAAUACAUCGGAACAUGUCCUGUAGUGGGGGAUAGCCCGGCGAAAGCCGGAUUAAUACCGCAUACGAUCUACGGAUGAAAGCGGGGGACCUUCGGGCCUCGCGCUAUAGGGUUGGCCGAUGGCUGAUUAGCUAGUUGGUGGGGUAAAGGCCUACCAAGGCGACGAUCAGUAGCUGGUCUGAGAGGACGACCAGCCACACUGGGACUGAGACGCGGCCCAGACUCCUACGGGAGGCAGCAGUGGGGAAUUUUGGACAAUGGGCGAAAGCCUGAUCCAGCAAUGCCGCGUGUGUGAAGAAGGCCUUCGGGUUGUAAAGCACUUUUGUCCGGAAAGAAAUCCUUGGCCCUAAUACGGUCGGGGGAUGACGGUACCGGAAGAAUAAGCACCGGCUAACUACGUG
Molecule: ribosomal RNA, 486 nt
Filed under: uncultured bacterium
Lineage: Bacteria
Description: partial 16S ribosomal RNA
Rfam family: Bacterial small subunit ribosomal RNA
Source: RNAcentral